CCGGUGUAUAAGCUACAGGGUGGAGCCUUUUUGCUGUAUACAGAGGUGACUUGCUUAGGUGUACUUAGACGUGGAAAACCGGUAUAUAUGCUACAGGGUGGAGUCUUUUCUUCUGGUUAUCAUGAGCUUAGUACAUGUGUACUUGGAAAUGAAAAGCUACAGGGUAGAGUCUUUUUUCUGGUUAUCAUGAGGUUAGUGCAUGUUCAAAUAUGACAUUAGUGGUUGAAUUCUGCAAUAGACAUGAUCAAAAAUGGUAACAAGCUAACUUGGCAGUAUUUAUUUUGCUUAAGGAUAUUAAAUAAGGUGUGCUUGGAUAUGAAAAAGCGGUACAUAAGCUACAGGGUGGAGUCUUUUCUUCUGGUUAUCGUGAGGUUAGUGCAUGUUCAAAUAUGACAUUAGUGGUUGAAUUCUGCAAUAGACAUGAUCAAAAAUGGUAACAAGCUAACUUGGCAGUAU
This is a long non-coding RNA of Sitophilus oryzae (rice weevil), 456 nucleotides long. RefSeq lists it as uncharacterized. NCBI's taxonomy places the organism in Eukaryota, Metazoa, Arthropoda, Insecta, Coleoptera, Curculionidae. The transcript has 6 exons. The record is from RefSeq and is a predicted model, not a curated record.